CUGGAGGUAUCAGAAGUGCGAAUGCUGACAUAAGUAACGAUAAAGCGGGUGAAAAGCCCGCUCGCCGGAAGACCAAGGGUUCCUGUCCAACGUUAAUCGGGGCAGGGUGAGUCGACCCCUAAGGCGAGGCCGAAAGGCGUAGUCGAUGGGAAACAGGUUAAUAUUCCUGUACUUGGUGUUACUGCGAAGGGGGGACGGAGAAGGCUAUGUUGGCCGGGCGACGGUUGUCCCGGUUUAAGCGUGUAGGCUGGUUUUCCAGGCAAAUCCGGAAAAUCAAGGCUGAGGCGUGAUGACGAGGCACUACGGUGCUGAAGCAACAAAUGCCCUGCUUCCAGGAAAAGCCUCUAAGCAUCAGGUAACAUCAAAUCGUACCCCAAACCGACACAGGUGGUCAGGUAGAGAAUACCAAGGCGCUUGAGAGAACUCGGGUGAAGGAACUAGGCAAAAUGGUGCCGUAACUUCGGGAGAAGGCACGCUGAUAUGUAGGUGAAGUCCCUUGCGGAUGGAGCUGAAAUCAGUCGAAGAUACCAGCUGGCU
This 537-nucleotide ribosomal RNA is filed under the name Escherichia coli. Its description in RNAcentral is "partial 23S ribosomal RNA". It matches the Rfam family "Bacterial large subunit ribosomal RNA", at positions 1273 to 1795 of the family's 2925-position model. Lineage: Bacteria; Pseudomonadati; Pseudomonadota; Gammaproteobacteria; Enterobacterales; Enterobacteriaceae. The record is from RNAcentral.